UUCCGGUUGAUCCCGCCGGACCCGACUGCUAUCAGAGUGGGACUAAGCCAUGCGAGUCAACAUAGCAAUAUGUGGCAUACGGCUCAGUAACACGUAGUCAACAUGCCCAGGGGACGUGGAUAACCUCGGGAAACUGAGGAUAAACCGCGAUAAGUCACUACUUCUGGAAUGGGUAAUGACUCAAAUCUACAUGGCCCCUGGAUUGGACUGCGGCCGAUCAGGCUGUUGGUGAGGUAAUGGCCCACCAAACCUGUAACCGGUACGGGCUCUGAGAGGAGGAGCCCGGAGAUGGGCACUGAGACAAGGGCCCAGGCCCUAUGGGGCGCAGCAGGCGCGAAACCUCUGCAAUAGGCGAAAGCCUGACAGGGUUACUCUGAGUGAUUUCCGUUAAGGAGAUCUUUUGGCACCUCUAAAAAUGGUGCAGAAUAAGGGGUGGGCAAGUCUGGUGUCAGCCGCCGCGGUAAUACCAGCACCCCGAGUGGUCGGGACGUUUAUUGGGCCUAAAGCAUCCGUAGCCGGUUCUACAAGUCUUCCGUUAAAUCCACCUGCUUAACAGAUGGGCUGCGGAAGAUACUAUAGAGCUAGGAGGCGGGAGAGGCAAGCGGUACUCGAUGGGUAGGGGUAAAAUCCGUUGAUCCAUUGAAGACCACCAGUGGCGAAGGCGGCUUGCCAGAACGCGCUCGACGGUGAGGGAUGAAAGCUGGGGGAGCAAACCGGAUUAGAUACCCGGGUAGUCCCAG
Molecule: ribosomal RNA, 740 nt
Filed under: uncultured archaeon
Lineage: Archaea
Description: bacterial SSU rRNA
Rfam family: Archaeal small subunit ribosomal RNA
Source: RNAcentral